This 253-nucleotide ribosomal RNA is filed under the name uncultured bacterium. RNAcentral describes it as "partial 16S ribosomal RNA". It matches the Rfam family "Bacterial small subunit ribosomal RNA", at positions 524 to 776 of the family's 1533-position model. The record is from RNAcentral.
UACGUAGGGUGCGAGCGUUGUCCGGAUUUAUUGGGCGUAAAGGGCUCGUAGGCGGUCUGUCACGUCGGCUGUGAAAACCCGAGGCUCAACCUCGGGCCUGCAGUCGAUACGGGCAAACUAGAGUACUGCAGGGGAGACUGGAAUUCCUGGUGUAGCGGUGAAAUGCGUAGAUAUCAGGAGGAACACCUGUGGCGAAAGCGGGUCUCUGGGCCGAUACUGACGCUGAGGAGCGAAAGCGUGGGGAGCAAACAGG